GAGUCGGACCUGCCCGGUGAAUAAUUUUUAACGGCCGCGGUACUCUGACCGUGCAAAGGUAGCAUAAUCAUUUGCCCUAUAAUUGAGGGCUAGUAUGAAUGGUUUGACGUGAACAAAACUGUCUCUAUAUAAUUUUUUAGAACUUGAUUUUUAGGUGAAGAAACCUAAAUAUUAUUGAUAGACAAGAAGACCCUAUUGAGCUUUAAAAAAGUAAAUUGAAGACAAUAUAUAAUUCUAAAUAUUUAUCUAUUUGAGAUUUUGGUUGGGGCGACUAUGGAACAAAUAAAGCUUCUUUAUAACUACAAAACUUUCAGGUUAUGAUCCAGAAAUUUUGAUUAAUGAAAUUAGUUACCAUAGGGAUAACAGCAUAAUUCUCUUCAAGAGUUCUUAUCGAAAAGAGAGUUUGUGACCUCGAUGUUGGACUAGAAUAUCCUGAAGAUGCAGCAGUCUUCAAGGGUUNGUC
RNAcentral lists this ribosomal RNA (463 nucleotides) under Macrocypraea zebra. Its description in RNAcentral is "partial 16S large subunit ribosomal RNA". It matches the Rfam family "Bacterial large subunit ribosomal RNA", at positions 1850 to 2577 of the family's 2925-position model. The record is from RNAcentral. Lineage: Eukaryota; Metazoa; Mollusca; Gastropoda; Littorinimorpha; Cypraeidae.